Molecule: ribosomal RNA, 497 nt
Filed under: uncultured bacterium
Lineage: Bacteria
Description: partial 16S ribosomal RNA
Rfam family: Bacterial small subunit ribosomal RNA
Source: RNAcentral
GAUGAACGCUGGCGGCGUGCCUAAUACAUGCAAGUCGAGCGAACAGACGAGGAGCUUGCUCCUCUGACGUUAGCGGCGGACGGGUGAGUAACACGUGGAUAACCUACCUAUAAGACUGGGAUAACUUCGGGAAACCGGAGCUAAUACCGGAUAAUAUAUUGAACCGCAUGGUUCAAUAGUGAAAGACGGUUUUGCUGUCACUUAUAGAUGGAUCCGCGCCGCAUUAGCUAGUUGGUAAGGUAACGGCUUACCAAGGCAACGAUGCGUAGCCGACCUGAGAGGGUGAUCGGCCACACUGGAACUGAGACACGGUCCAGACUCCUACGGGAGGCAGCAGUAGGGAAUCUUCCGCAAUGGGCGAAAGCCUGACGGAGCAACGCCGCGUGAAUGAUGAAGGUCUUCGGAUCGUAAAACUCUGUUAUUAGGGAAGAACAAAUGUGUAAGUAACUAUGCAUGUCUUGACGGUACCUAAUCAGAAAGCCACGGCUAACUACGUG